GGCGCCGUGGCUUAGUGGUAAAGCGCCUGUCUAGUAAACAGGAGUUCGGUGGUUUGAUCCCGUCCGGUGCCU
RNAcentral lists this transfer RNA (72 nucleotides) under Hofstenia miamia. RNAcentral describes it as "tRNA-Thr for anticodon AGU". It matches the Rfam family "tRNA". From Rfam's summary of the family: Transfer RNA (tRNA) molecules are approximately 80 nucleotides in length. Lineage: Eukaryota; Metazoa; Xenacoelomorpha; Acoela; Hofsteniidae. The record is from RNAcentral.